Camelus ferus (Wild Bactrian camel) is the source of this 73-nucleotide transfer RNA. It matches the Rfam family "tRNA". Rfam says of the family: Transfer RNA (tRNA) molecules are approximately 80 nucleotides in length. Their secondary structure includes four short double-helical elements and three loops (D, anti-codon, and T loops). The record is from Rfam. NCBI's taxonomy places the organism in Eukaryota, Metazoa, Chordata, Mammalia, Artiodactyla, Camelidae.
GAGGGUGUAGCUUAAGUAGUAGAGCGCAUGCUUAGCAUGCACGAGGUCCUGGGUUCAAUCCCCGGUGCCUCCU